CGGCGCGUCUUAAACAUGCAAGUCAAACGGGUGUAGCAAUACACCAGUGGCGAACGGGUGAGUAACACGUAGAUAAUCUACCAUCGAGUUGGGGAUAACCUGUCGAAAGGCAGGCUAAUACCGAAUGGUAUCAUGAUAGCGAGAGCUGAUAUGAUUAAAGAAGCGAUUCGCUCGAUGAUGAGUCUGCGUAUGAUUAGCUAGUUGGUGAGGUAAUGGCUCACCAAGGCGACGAUCAUUAGCCGGCCUGAGAGGGUGAACGGCCACAUUGGGACUGAGACACGGCCCA
This 286-nucleotide ribosomal RNA is filed under the name uncultured Leptospira sp. Its description in RNAcentral is "partial 16S ribosomal RNA". It matches the Rfam family "Bacterial small subunit ribosomal RNA", at positions 40 to 333 of the family's 1533-position model. Lineage: Bacteria; Pseudomonadati; Spirochaetota; Leptospiria; Leptospirales; Leptospiraceae. The record is from RNAcentral.